GGGUUGUGAGGUUAAGCGAACAAGCGUACACGGUGGAUGCCCUGGCAGUCAGAGGCGAUGAAGGACGUGCUAAUCUGCGAAAAGCGCCGGUAAGGUGAUAUGAACCGUUAUAACCGGCGAUGUCCGAAUGGGGAAACCCGGUGCACUUCGGUGCAUCAUCGUUAGCUGAAUACAUAGGCUAACGAGGCGAACCGGGGGAACUGAAACAUCUAAGUACCCCGAGGAAAAGAAAUCAACCGAGAUUCCCCCAGUAGCGGCGAGCGAACGGGGAACAGCCCAGAGCCUGAAUCAGCUUGUGUGUCAGUGGAACGGUCUGGAAAGGCCGGCGAUACAGGGUGACAGCCCCGUACACGAAGGCACACAGGCUGUGAGCUCGAUGAGUAGGGCGGGACACGUGAUAUCCUGUCUGAAGAUGGGGGGACCAUCCUCCAAGGCUAAAUACUCCUGACUGACCGAUAGUGAACCAGUACCGUGAGGGAAAGGCGAAAAGAACCCCGGCGAGGGGAGUGAAACAGAACCUGAAACCGUGUACGUACAAGCAGUGGGAGCCUUCGUAAGAGGGUGACUGCGUACCUUUUGUAUAAUGGGUCAGCGACUUAUAUUCUGUAGCAAGGUUAACCGUAUAGGGGAGCCGAAGGGAAACCGAGUCUUAACCGGGCGUUAAGUUGCAGGGUAUAGACCCGAAACCCGGUGAUCUAGCCAUGGGCAGGUUGAAGGUUGGGUAACACUAACUGGAGGACCGAACCGACUAAUGUUGAAAAAUUAGCGGAUGACCUGUGGCUGGGGGUGAAAGGCCAAUCAAACCGGGAGAUAGCUGGUUCUCCCCGAAAGCUAUUUAGGUAGCGCCUCGUGAAUUCAUCUCCGGGGGUAGAGCACUGUUUCGGCUAGGGGGCCAUCCCGGCUUACCAACCCGAUGCAAACUGCGAAUACCGGAGAAUGUUAUCACGGGAGACACACGGCGGGUGCUAACGUCCGUCGUGAAGAGGGAAACAACCCAGACCGCCAGCUAAGGUCCCAAAGUCAUGGUUAAGUGGGAAACGAUGUGGGAAGGCCCAGACAGCCAGGAUGUUGGCUUAGAAGCAGCCAUCAUUUAAAGAAAGCGUAAUAGCUCACUGGUCGAGUCGGCCUGCGCGGAAGAUGUAACGGGGCUAAACCAUGCACCGAAGCUGCGGCAGCGACACUAUGUGUUGUUGGGUAGGGGAGCGUUCUGUAAGCCUGUGAAGGUGUGCUGUGAGGCAUGCUGGAGGUAUCAGAAGUGCGAAUGCUGACAUAAGUAACGAUAAAGCGGGUGAAAAGCCCGCUCGCCGGAAGACCAAGGGUUCCUGUCCAACGUUAAUCGGGGCAGGGUGAGUCGACCCCUAAGGCGAGGCCGAAAGGCGUAGUCGAUGGGAAACAGGUUAAUAUUCCUGUACUUGGUGUUACUGCGAAGGGGGGACGGAGAAGGCUAUGUCGGCCGGGCGACGGUUGUCCCGGUUUAAGCGUGUAGGCUGACUUUCCAGGCAAAUCCGGAAGGUUAAGGCUGAGGCGUGAUGACGAGGCACCACGGUGCUGAAGUGACAAAUGCCCUGCUUCCAGGAAAAGCCUCUAAGCAUCAGGUAACAUUAAAUCGUACCCCAAACCGACACAGGUGGUCAGGUAGAGAAUACCAAGGCGCUUGAGAGAACUCGGGUGAAGGAACUAGGCAAAAUGGUGCCGUAACUUCGGGAGAAGGCACGCUGACAUGUAGGUGAAGCCCCUGCGGGUGGAGCUGAAGUCAGUCGAAGAUACCAGCUGGCUGCAACUGUUUAUUAAAAACACAGCACUGUGCAAACACGAAAGUGGACGUAUACGGUGUGACGCCUGCCCGGUGCCGGAAGGUUAAUUGAUGGGGUUAUCGCAAGAGAAGCUCCUGAUCGAAGCCCCGGUAAACGGCGGCCGUAACUAUAACGGUCCUAAGGUAGCGAAAUUCCUUGUCGGGUAAGUUCCGACCUGCACGAAUGGCGUAAUGAUGGCCAGGCUGUCUCCACCCGAGACUCAGUGAAAUUGAACUCGCUGUGAAGAUGCAGUGUACCCGCGGCAAGACGGAAAGACCCCGUGAACCUUUACUACAGCUUGACACUGAACAUUGAGCCUUGAUGUGUAGGAUAGGUGGGAGGCUUUGAAGCGUGGACGCCAGUCUGCGUGGAGCCGACCUUGAAAUACCACCCUUUAAUGUUUGAUGUUCUAACCUGGCGCCGUGAUCCGGCGUGGGGACAGUGUCUGGUGGGUAGUUUGACUGGGGCGGUCUCCUCCCAAAGUGUAACGGAGGAGCACGAAGGUCAGCUAAUCCUGGUCGGACAUCAGGAGGUUAGUGCAAUGGCAUAAGCUGGCUUGACUGCGAGAGUGACGGCUCGAGCAGGUGCGAAAGCAGGUCAUAGUGAUCCGGUGGUUCUGUAUGGAAGGGCCAUCGCUCAACGGAUAAAAGGUACUCCGGGGAUAACAGGCUGAUACCGCCCAAGAGUUCAUAUCGACGGCGGUGUUUGGCACCUCGAUGUCGGCUCAUCACAUCCUGGGGCUGAAGUAGGUCCCAAGGGUAUGGCUGUUCGCCAUUUAAAGUGGUACGCGAGCUGGGUUUAGAACGUCGUGAGACAGUUCGGUCCCUAUCUGCCGUGGGCGCUGGAGAAUUGAGGGGGGCUGCUCCCAGUACGAGAGGACCGGAGUGGACGCAUCACUGGUGUUCGGGUUGUCAUGCCAAUGGCACUGCCCGGUAGCUAAAUGCGGAAGAGAUAAGUGCUGAAAGCAUCUAAGCACGAAACUUGCCCCGAGAUGAGUUCUCCCUGAGACUGUAAGUCUCCUGAAGGAACGUUGAAGACGACGACGUUGAUAGGCCGGGUGUGUAAGCGCAGCGAUGCGUUGAGCUAACCGGUACUAAUGAACCGUGAGGCUUAACCUUACAACGCCAAAGAAGU
Molecule: ribosomal RNA, 2927 nt
Filed under: Cronobacter sakazakii
Lineage: Bacteria; Pseudomonadati; Pseudomonadota; Gammaproteobacteria; Enterobacterales; Enterobacteriaceae
Description: bacterial LSU rRNA
Rfam family: Bacterial large subunit ribosomal RNA
Source: RNAcentral